RNAcentral lists this ribosomal RNA (807 nucleotides) under uncultured bacterium. RNAcentral describes it as "bacterial SSU rRNA". It matches the Rfam family "Bacterial small subunit ribosomal RNA", at positions 8 to 803 of the family's 1533-position model. The record is from RNAcentral.
AGGGUUUGAUCAUGGCUCAGAUUGAACGCUGGCGGCACGCUUUACACAUGCAAGUCGAGCGGCAGCGCGGAGGUGCCUAGCAUUUCUGGCGGCGAGCGGCGGACGGGUGAGUAACGCAUGGGAAUAUGCCCGACAGAGGGGGAUAACUUUGGGAAACCAAAGCUAAUACCGCAUACGCUCUACGGAGGAAAGCGGGGGAUCUUCGGACCUCGCACUGACGGAGUAGCCCAUGUCCGAUUAGCUUGUUGGGGUGGUAACGGCACACCAAGGCGAUGAUCGGUAGCUGGUCUGAGAGGAUGAUCAGCCACACCGGGACUGAGACACGGCCCGGACUCCUACGGGAGGCAGCAGUGGGGAAUAUUGGACAAUGGGGGCAACCCUGAUCCAGCGAUGCCGCGUGAGUGAAGAAGGCUUUCGGGUUGUAAAGCUCUUUCGCGGGGGAAGAAACGGCGCAAGUGAAUAAUUUGCGUUACUGACGGUACCCUGAUAAGAAGCACCGGCUAACUACGUGCCAGCAGCCGCGGUAAUACGUAGGGUGCGAGCGUUAAUCGGAAUUACUGGGCGUAAAGCGUGCGUAGGCGGCCGUGCAAGUCAGAUGUGAAAGCCCCGGGCUCAACCUGGGAACUGCGUUUGAAACUGCAUGGCUAGAGUUCGGCAGGGGAAGAUGGAAUUCCAUGUGUAGCGGUGAAAUGCGUAGAGAUAUGGAAGAACACUAAUGGCGAAGGCGUUCUUCUGGGCCGACACUGACGCUGAGUCACUAAAGCGUGGGGAGCAAACAGGAUUAGAUACCCUGGUAGUCCACGCCCU